RNAcentral lists this transfer RNA (70 nucleotides) under Marmota monax (woodchuck). Its description in RNAcentral is "tRNA.Ala". Lineage: Eukaryota; Metazoa; Chordata; Mammalia; Rodentia; Sciuridae. The record is from RNAcentral.
GGGCUGGGGCUCAGUGGUAGAGCACUUGCCUAGCACGUGUGAGGCCCUGGGUUCAAUCCUCAGCACCACA